CCUACGGGAGGCAGCAGUGGGGAAUAUUGGGCAAUGGGCGCAAGCCUGACCCAGCAACGCCGCGUGAAGGAAGAAGGCUUUUGGGUUGUUAACUUCUUUUAAGGGGGAAGAGCAGAAGACGGUACCCCUUGAAUAAGCCACGGCUAACUACGUACCAGCAGCCGCGGUAAUACGUAGGUGGGAAGCGUUGUACGGAUUUACUGGGUGUAAAGGGCGUGCAGCCGGGGAGAAAAGUCAGAUGUGAAAUCCACGGGCUCAAACCGUGAUCUGCAUUUGAAACUGUUUCCCUUGAGUGUCGGAGAGGUAGUCGGAAUUCCUUGUGUAGCGGUGAAAUGCGUAGAUAUAAGGAAGAACACCAGUGGCGAAGGCGGAUUACUGGACGAUAACUGACGGUGAGGCGCGAAAGCGUGGGGAGCAAACAGGAUUAGAUACCCCUGUAGUC
This 442-nucleotide ribosomal RNA is filed under the name uncultured bacterium. RNAcentral describes it as "partial 16S ribosomal RNA". It matches the Rfam family "Bacterial small subunit ribosomal RNA", at positions 338 to 795 of the family's 1533-position model. The record is from RNAcentral.